This 460-nucleotide ribosomal RNA is filed under the name uncultured bacterium. Its description in RNAcentral is "partial 16S ribosomal RNA". It matches the Rfam family "Bacterial small subunit ribosomal RNA", at positions 338 to 795 of the family's 1533-position model. The record is from RNAcentral.
CCUACGGGUGGCAGCAGUGAGGAAUAUUGGUCAAUGGCCGGAAGGCUGAACCAGCCAUGCCGCGUGAAGGUCAGUGCCCUAUGGGCGUUAAACUUCUUUUGUGCGGGAGCAUUAAUGGUCACGUGUGGCCAGACGAGAGUACCGUACGAAUAAGCAUCGGCUAACUCCGUGCCAGCAGCCGCGGUCAUACGGGGGAUGCAAGCGUUAUCCGGAGUUAGUGGGUUUAAAGGGUGCGUAGGCUGUGAGGUAAGUCAGCGGGGGAAAGCCCCGGCGUAAAGGGGUGAAGUGCCAUUGAUACUGCCUGGCUGGAAUGCGGAUGCGGUAGGAGGAAUGUGUGGUGUAGCGGUGAAAUGCAUAGAUAUCACACAGAACACCGAUUGCGAAGGCAUCUCACGAAUCCGCGAUUGACGCUGAUGCACGAAAGCGUGGGUAUCAAACAGGAUUAGAUACCCUGGUAGUC